This 253-nucleotide ribosomal RNA is filed under the name uncultured bacterium. RNAcentral's name for it is "partial 16S ribosomal RNA". It matches the Rfam family "Bacterial small subunit ribosomal RNA", at positions 524 to 776 of the family's 1533-position model. The record is from RNAcentral.
UACGGAGGGUGCAAGCGUUGCUCGGAAUUAUUGGGCGUAAAGGGCAGGUAGGUGGUCUCAUUUGUCUGGGGUGAAAGCCUCGAGCUUAACUCGAGAAGUGCCCCAGAAACGGUGAGACUAGAGUUCUGGAGAGGGUCGUGGAAUUCCUAGUGUAGCGGUGAAAUGCGUAGAUAUUAGGAGGAACACCAGAGGCGAAGGCGGCGACCUGGACAGAUACUGACACUCAACUGCGAAAGCGUGGGGAGCAAACAGG